AUCCUGUUCGGUAAGGUCUAACCAACCACCGAUAGCGAGUCUUGUGCUGUAAACAGUAAUGCUUGCAGUAAAGCGUAGACAGCGAGGAAGCGGGGUUACAAGGUGAUGGAGCCUCGAAAUUUUAUUAUUCGGAGGGCUGACACUGUAAUCAGAGUGGAAAGCAAAACACACAGGUCGGUAAGGUGAGAACUGAUGUGCCUCUGCGGGGUCAAAGAGC
RNAcentral lists this non-coding RNA (217 nucleotides) under bovine gut metagenome. The record is from RNAcentral.